GAUGAACGCUGGCGGCGUGCCUAAUACAUGCCAGUCGAGCGAACGGACGAGAAGCUUGCUUCUCUGAUGUUAGCGGCGGACGGGUGAGUAACACGUGGAUAACCUACCUAUAAGACUGGGAUAACUUCGGGAAACCGUAGCUAAUACCGGAUAAUAUUUUGAACCGCAUGGUUCAAAAGUGAAAGACGGUCUUGCUGUCACUUAUAGAUGGAUCCGCGCUGCAUUAGCUAGUUGGUAAGGUAACGGCUCACCAAGGCAACGAUGCAUAGCCGACCUGAGAGGGUGAUCGGCCACACUGGAACUGAGACACGGUCUAGACUCCUACGGGAGGCAGCAGUAGGGAAUCUUCCGCAAUGGGCGAAAGCCUGACGGAGCAACGACGCGUGAGUGAUGAAGGUCUUCGGAUCGUAAAACUCUGUUAUUAGGGAAGAACAUAUGUGUAAGUAACUGUGCACAUCUUGACGGUACCUAAUCAGAAAGCCACGGCUAACUACGUG
This 497-nucleotide ribosomal RNA is filed under the name uncultured bacterium. Its description in RNAcentral is "partial 16S ribosomal RNA". It matches the Rfam family "Bacterial small subunit ribosomal RNA", at positions 28 to 507 of the family's 1533-position model. The record is from RNAcentral.